UUUUUGGAGGGCAAGUCGUGGUCGCCGACGCAGCCGCGGUAAUUCCAGCUCCAAUAGCGUAUAUUAAAGUUGUUGCAGUUAAAAAGCUCGUAGUUGAAUUUCGGGAUCAAUUUGUUGGUCGUGCCUCGGUACAUACUGGGCAUUAUUGGUUUCCUACCUUCCUGAAGAACCGUUGAUGUCAUUAAUUUGGUGUUCUUGGGAAUCAGGACUGUUACUUUGAAAAAAUUAUAGUGUUUAAAGC
Molecule: ribosomal RNA, 241 nt
Filed under: uncultured Septoglomus
Lineage: Eukaryota; Fungi; Glomeromycota; Glomeromycetes; Glomerales; Glomeraceae
Description: partial small subunit ribosomal RNA
Rfam family: Eukaryotic small subunit ribosomal RNA
Source: RNAcentral